Non-coding RNA from Petromyzon marinus (sea lamprey), 1499 nucleotides. Lineage: Eukaryota; Metazoa; Chordata; Hyperoartia; Petromyzontiformes; Petromyzontidae. The record is from RefSeq and is a predicted model, not a curated record.
ACAGUUCCGGCCUUCAUAGACGCUUCCUUUAACAGCUUGUUAAGGCUACACGGGGGAUAUUUGUCUUUUGUGCAAUAGUGCGGAUUUACCAUAUUACUCCUUUUCCGUAUAUAAGCUGGCAUCAGGACUCAAGGGGAAGUAAUGACGCAGACGUCAUUGUAAGCGAGACUCAAACCCGUUACUCGCUCCCAAAUCCGGGUCCCAGCCAGAGAAGCCUUUGAAAGUCAAAGAAAUGAACAUCAUGGUCAUUUCCUUCUUCAUAUUGUGUUUGGUGUGCGUACACCCGCUUGAAGCAGUUAGUGUUACUCUGAUGCCACAUGGAAGCGUCAGUGCUGGCAAGGUCUUGACUCUUACGUGCAACUUUACAUCAGAUGCAAAAACUAGUCCACAGACUUGGAUGACCUGGAGUUUUGGAAAUGCUGAGGUCUGCAAAUAUGUGAAUAAUAAUUUGAGGCCAAUCUCCAACGAAGCCUUCAAGCAUCGAACGACCUGCCAUGGUGACAUCAAGAGAAAUUUUAUCCAAAUGUCAAUUUCUAACAUUCAAGUUAACGACAGUGGAAUAUACAAGUGUGACGUCAGCAAUUUCCCUGAUCAAACACCAGGAGAAGAAUCCACCAAUAUUUCUAUUGAGAAAGAUUCCUCCCGCAAAGGAAGCGAGAGAGAUGCUGGCAACAAAGGAAAUGGGUCACAUCACGCCCACUGGCUGCUGCUGCUGCUGUUGCUGCCGAUUCCAUUGGCUAGAGGAACAGCCUAUGGCUAGACAACAAGCAGCCGGGGCUACAAAGAAGGCUCCGGUGAUCUUCGUUACCCUGCUUUGACACGAGAGCACAAGUAUAUUUAUCGUGUGUGUAAAGUGUAAUCAUGUUUUACGUAUGUGUUGUACAUAGAGUGUAGUGUAUAGUGGUGUGUAUGUUGUAUGUAUGUUAAACUUCGUUGGCACCGAAUGUAGCCAACCGCGCUGAUCGGAGGUGCGCGGAAGGAAAACAAAACUUUAACAACACCAACAAUUAACAGCAGUUCUGAAGCAAUGAAUAUGAUGAUGACGACGAUUUAAAAAGUGUAGAUGAGACCAACUUUAUCCCCAAGACGUACUGCAAGUCCCUCUGCUGGACAUCUGUGAAAAAGAGCUUUACAGCUCAUUGAAUUCCUCCGACAAGCCGAUUCCGAAUAGUCCCUCAAUACAAUUCCACGUUAACAUUUUCAGCUCAAACUAUGUUUGUUUAUUGUAGCACGUGUACGGCCCCACCGAGCUGCUGUGUCGUCGCUCUUCUUCAGAAGCGACCCUGCCCAUCACAAAUGAUCUCAGCUCAACCAAGCAGCUGAUAUCGUCAUCCCGUGAACAUAUUGAUAGGAGCAGCCAAAUACUCUAAACGCGUGGGAACGCAGACUCCAGAUAUACAGUAGCGGCAGCAGCCAUCGCCAAGGUCAGGAUCAGGAUCGGACCCACGACCUCCUGUACACCCGGCGAGCUAGUGAACUUCUCGCCACCGUCGUGAUGA